This 969-nucleotide long non-coding RNA is filed under the name Olea europaea (common olive). RNAcentral's name for it is "long non-coding RNA (OEUR_LNC012558)". Lineage: Eukaryota; Viridiplantae; Streptophyta; Magnoliopsida; Lamiales; Oleaceae. The record is from RNAcentral.
CCAAUUCAGAAAAAUUAAAAAAUCAUUAACACAACAAGAAAAAGCAUAUUUAUAAGGACAUGAAAAACUAAAAGGCUUACAUCCUUUCUGCCAUAAAUUUGCGUGAUUUCACAAAUUCAGAGUCCAUGUUUAUAACACUACGAUGGACACCAGGAUUUUGUAUAUGUCCAGGCAAGGGGUUUCCUUUUUGCUGCAGUAGCCCAAGCAACGCAGUGCCGGCCUUGUUUGGUUCCUGUCGUGAUAUCUGCGCAGAAAGGUGUGUCUGCAAAUUCAUCUUUACUGUAAGCUAAACAAUGUGUUCCUUGUAACAUGAUUUAUAAGGUUCCAUAAUCUAGUUAACAUGAAUCACUUUCCAUGCAUAAUAACAUCCACAUACUAUCUGUCUAAGAAAAUAAGAUGAAAAAACAAUCACUUUGACAAAUGCAUUCUGCAAAUUUUACAAAUAUAAUAGCCUGGGGAGCCCUCUUUCCCGUGGAAGAACAAGGGGCGGAGCCACUUGCAGUCUAGUGGGGGCUGGAUUUUGGUCCUGGGUAUUUCACCUAUUACACUUUAGGGGCAGCCAGUUUUCAAGGCAACGGAAAACAAACAACGGCAUCAAAAAUUGAAGAGAAAUAUGGUUGAAAAAUCACUGUCGCUAGAGAGAUUACCAUCAAGAAAUAAGAAUUCUGGAAAAAUAAAAUAAAUUAUACGGAGUUGAGUUCAGAUUAAAUCAUUCACAACAAACAAAUCGAGACGAUUUCAACAUACAAAGCCCGUUUUAACACUUAUAUAAUCCGAUACUACCUUCCAAGUUUGGCGAUGAAGAAAUUGAGUAGAAAUCACUGCAACACAAGAUCAAUUGGUGCCGAGAGGUGAUGAAUAUGUUACCAAUUUUUAUUGAAAUACCAAGAAAGAAAACCUAGGCCGUUCUUCCCCCUUUGCUAAACAGAUGUCGGGUUGUCCUUUGAUUGGCCGGCUUUCUAAUAUUUU